Long non-coding RNA from Helianthus annuus (common sunflower), 5407 nucleotides. RefSeq lists it as uncharacterized. NCBI's taxonomy places the organism in Eukaryota, Viridiplantae, Streptophyta, Magnoliopsida, Asterales, Asteraceae. The transcript has 4 exons. The record is from RefSeq and is a predicted model, not a curated record.
ACACCAACUCAAAAUAUAAACACCUCACUUAGAAGUCUUAUAAAGAGUUUCUUCCUUCUUACUUUGAGUUUUCUCUUCUAGUCUUAUGGAGAAGUCCCCUAAAGUUAGUAAGUUCCUUUCCUUUAACUCUUUCAAUAAACAAAUAGUUUCGUAGCUUAUUUCCGUCCAAACCCGUAUUUUUACGCAUAGUAAAAUUAUCAACGGAACACAUAGGUGUUUUUCCUAUUUUAGAUAGAUGAUGUGUUAACACUUUGCACAACCAUAACUAAGUCAAAACAUAACUAAAUAAAGUAAACUCUUACUUCAUGAUUAAGUACUUCAAAAAACAUGUUCAACAAUAUAUUAUACGCUUAAAAACACUUCCGUUUGGACCCUCAACUUUUUAAAACCAAACUGAAGGUCAAAACUGAACAAUCUACAAAGAUCCCCAGUCUUGACCAUUUCCGGGUUCCAAAAAGAAAAACUGUCUUGAAGAAAGUUGUAGAUCACAUUCUAAUUUAGUUGAAUGGAUUUUUUUUUUAAAUUUUCAACGUCGUUUACUAUUUUUAAAACGUAAAACAGAAACAACACAAUAUGCUGUCAAAAUUUAUAUUUCCUAAAAAUCUAAACAUUUUCAAUUUACCAAUAGCCCCUUUAACCUAUACUUUCCACAAACAUCAUCGCAACAGAACCUUAACGAACAAUCCUCAUCAUUAGGAAUUACUCGUGAUCUUGUAAACCUCGAGGACGCACAAACUAAUCACUAGGACAUCAAGGUGAGUAUAUAGUCUCCACUUUUCCGUUUUCUCGUGAUCUUGUAAACCUCGAGGACACACAAACUAAUCACUAGGACAUAAAGGUGAGUAUAUAGUCUCCACUUUUCCGUUUUCAAAUGUUUUGGGAUGAUUCAUAUGUGCCUACUAAUUUUAUAAACUUUCCUAAACUUAUUACAUAUGGUUUAUAUAAUUUUAUAUAUAUAAAUAUAUAUACACAAUACACUUUUCAUUUGGUAUGAAACUUGGUGGUGCGUAACCUAUAAUAUGAAUACGUUCAUUAACUUUGGCCAAGCCGACCGGUAGUAUAUUAUUACGCUAUAGGAUUGAACCCUAUCCCCACUUCCUAGGUUUGUGAGGAAGUUUGCUUAGGGAAUGAUAGAAACUAUGCACUUUUGACGAACCCUUUUGGGAUUUCUCAGAUGAGUCAACACAGUCUUGAAUGUAUUUACCCAUGACCACACUCGUACAUCCAAAUGCAACAGUUUGUUUUUACAACACACAAUAGCUUGUUAUACAAAAUUACAAAUGGUUUCUAAACAUAUAAACCAUACAAUUUAUGUUAAAAUGAUUUGUUUUUCAUACAAUUAUUACAAGAAACACUUUUGUCAAGUUUCAUGGCUACAAAGUCUAUUUAUUAUACCAAGUCUUAUAGUUGGUUAACAUAUUGCAAAACCAAACACAAUUGAUACACGUUUGGUUACAAGGUUUAUUUCACUCAUCCACUCUCGUAACCGUACAACGUAUUGCAAUGCAAAUUCAUAGCCAUGAAUUUGACCAUAUAACAUAUGUUACUCACUAACUUUAUUGUUGACCAUUUAUUUUCACAUAUGUUUCAAGUACAAAUAUUUGAUGAAAAUCAAGUAUUUUACAUAUAGGGCUUGGACUCGAGCCUUAGUUUUGCUUAAUUUAAAAACAAUUGUUUGUAUUUGCUUUGUGUUUUGAAAGACAUUGUAAUUCAAUAAAUCAAUAUAAUUAAACAUUAAUACCAUGUGUUAUAAACAAUCUUGUAAUAUGACUCCUCGGGGUUUCUGUCGCGGGUUUUAUGCGCAGUCGGGGAGUUACACGUCAACUGGGUAAUGAAGUGAAAAAUAUUAUAUCCUUUUAAACCACAUCACUUCCAUCAAUUUGUUAUAUCAAUCACCAAUUUGUUAUAUCAAUCACCGUACUUACUCAUUGAGAAAGAUAGAUCCAAAUUCACACCACAAACUUCAACUUCUAUAAAUCUUAGGCUCAAAAUAAACAUAAUGCUUCAAACAUUAAACAAAAAACCAGUCUCGAAUUAACAAGCAUUUCACUUUUAUUCCACAAAUUUCAUUAAUUAUAGAUCCACAAUUAAAACUUCUACACAAAAGCAUCAUAAACUUAAAUGCUUCAUCACAACAUUUCAACAAUCUGUAUUGUUUCGAUUCAACGUUACAAAAUCAAAUAGCAGAUUCAUCUUCAUCCUCAUUUGGUUUGUUUAAGAACACACACAGUUUCUGUGUUUUAGAGAAAUAAAUCAUAAUUUUUUAGAGAGAAAAAACUCCGGUGAUUGUGUUUAGGCAAAAACAUGAAUUUUCUAAACGAAUUAGAUCUCGAGCAUACACUUCUGAAUAACCACUUUUCAUUGCAAAAACUUCAUCGAUGCGUCUACUUGCAGUAAUUCUAUUUACUUGUCCUAAGAUUAGAUUAACAAGGUGAAUCGAAAUUGUAGUUUUCCGAUCUUGUUUGGUGGCUUCGUAUUAAAUGUGUUGUGGCUGGUAAUUGAUUUGCAGUGAUAGUUUAUGGGAGAGUUUAGGAGGUUGUAGGUGUUAUAGUGUGAAGAAGAAGAAGAAAGGAAUACGAUGUGGUAAUUGCUUGUUGUAGUGUGAAAGAACAAAGGAACAAGGUGUGGUCGGUAACAGUUAGAAAUUAGGGUUCUGAUGGUUUUGUGGAUGAAAAUGAAGAGGAACAAGGUUACGUUAUUUGCCACGUCAUAGCCCGGUCAUUGUCCACGUCAUAAAAAAACAAACUACGUUAGAUUUUUUACACUACUAGAAAACUAGGCAAUUGCGAUGAAAAUUUGCGACCAACAUCAUGCAGUCGCAAAAUUAGCGACUGGUUUGCGAUCAUAACCAAAACAGUCGCAAAUAAAAAGACCAACCCGGAUUUGAUCGCAAAACGGUCGCAAAUUUUGUGACCACAUUUUGCGGUCGCAAUAUUUGUGACCAUUAUAUAAAAAACAAAUGUUACGACCGUCUAAAGCAGUCACAAAUACGAGAUAUAUAUGAAAAACAAAAGUUGCGACUGUCUAAAUGGUCGCAAUUCGAGAAUAUCAAUUUGGAGUAGUACUGUUUAUAUUAUAUAGUUUGUCUUGCUAUAUCUAAUUUAAUUUAAUUUAAUUUUAUCCGGAUUAUAUAUAAAGGACCUGCUAUUAUAUUAAAUUGUCACACAGCGGCCCAUCUGGUUUCUCUCUCUCCGACACUUCGCUAUCAUCACCACAUUCUGAAACCCUAGAUCUCUCAAACACAUCUCAAUCGCCACUCAAUGAUCACGGCGUUCAAAUUGAUUAGGUUAGGGGAUCUUAAACGACUUCGAGUAACCUUGAACUGAAACGAAUUUGAUGAACGCUAAUUUUGAUUUUCAAUCGAUUGGAAGAACAAUUACUGGAAAUUUGGUGGAUAGUUGAAGAUUAUGUGCGAUUGGAACGAAUUAUAUAGGAAGAAAUCGCAACCGGAAUCGUUUACAAAGAUUAUGUCCAUCGGCUUCUCUCUAUCUUACAAUUUGCCUUUCAUCUGAAUCCUUUGUAUUUCGUUUAUCUAGGAUUGGUGGUGUGCGAUUCGUCUUACGCAGGUGAGAACCUAACCUCGAUCUGUUAAUGUAUUCAUUCGUCAAGCGAAAACAAAACCGUGAGUUCAUGGAUAGAUAAUCCACCAACCCACUACACAGGACACCCGUCUGGUACAAAACAACAAUAUCCUCACACGGUUUACUUGUAGUACUGUUACAUGUUAAUUGACGAGAACUUGAGCAUCUUUUCAUGAAAUUAUUGAUUUCAUGUUUGAUUAUUUGUAAAAUUUAUAAGUUAUUUUAGCCCAUUCAUCAAGGAUGAGAUGCACGUGGCUUAUGUUUGUCCUUUACUUGGUCAAAUUUUGGAAUAUUUUUUUUCUAUGUUCAGUCUCCAUCUCCUCUAUCCCUAUCAAACACAAUUUUAAUUUAACUAAGCACCAUUAACAUUUAACAACUUGUUGAUUAAUUUUGUACAGAGAUCCGGAUGCUGGAUCUAUACCGGAGAACGACAAGUGAGCGCGUUGAGGAAGAGGUACCUUGAAGCAGUGUUGAAACAGGACGUAGGGUUUUACAAUACCGAUGCGAGAACAGGUGAUACCGUGUUUAGUGUCUCUACGGACACACUUCUCGUUCAAGACGCCAUUAGCGAGAAGGUGGGAAACUUUAUACCUUAUCUGUCAAUGUUUUUGGCUGGAUUGGUGGUCGGUUUUGUGUCCGCACGGAAGCUAGCUCUUCUUAGUGUUGCAGUGAUUCCAGGCAUUGCAUUUGCGGGUGGUUUAUAUACAGGUCUAACUUCUAAGAGCCGUGAAUCAUAUGCUAAUGCUGGCAUCAUUGCUGAACAGGUGAUCAUAUCUUUGAAGUUUCCUUAAGUUUUUCCACUUUAAGUUUGUGUAUCUUGAUAAAAAUUAGUUAGUUGCUUUAUGGUCAUCAAAUGGAAGCCUUUGUAAGUUGUGAAGUUCAAAUGCCAUUCUGGUGCCAUGAAUGGCUGCAAAUGAUUCAUUAUUUAUGCGUAAGUUUUAUCUUUUGUACUACCUCGACUCACAUUAUAGAUUUAAUGGUUUGCUGACCUUCUCUGUCUAGAAGAUAAUUUCGUACAUGUUUUAAUUAGUCGUAAAAUUUAAAACUGUUGAAGCUUUGGUUUUUUUUUGUUUUGUUUAUUAUAAAGGGCCUUAACGUUGUUUAUUUUGCUAUUUUUUGUUGAUUCAGAUGGAGAUAUAUUGUAUGGGAAUGCACAUGAUCUCCACAACGGAUAAUGCUCUCAGUUCAAGUGGUAAUUUGUUCCUUCUUGAGCAUAUAGUGAACUGAAUGAAUGAAUUUGUGAUCCAAAUGGGGUUAUUGAUAUAUAUUGGAUUUCUGUACCAAAUCGUGUAGGGCAUUAUCCUACAAUUAUUUACCUGUAAUGUUGAUCGCAAAAGUUUAUUCUACCUGGAUGUUAAUUUUAAAAGGCUAAGGUACCAAGGUCUUGUUAUAUAAACCCAAAAUCACGCUCAUUGCCUUUCCUAUCCAUUGGGCUAGUGCUAUUGGUAAAACCAUAUCAAAUUUUUACCUAUAUAUUGUCAUUGGUCUAAUGUAAACCUUUGCAUCCAUCUUACAUGGUAUGUUUAUUCUUUUAAGUAUAUGGGUUAAGCAAAUGAUUUUAACGAUCAACAACAUGGUAAACAAGACCAAGAGAUUGAAAGGUUGAAUGUGAUUGUCCAAGAUAUAGUGAAAGAAAAAGAAGAAAAAGAAAGGUUGAAUGAUAUUAUUGCGGGAUUGGUGGUGGAAAAAGAGAAAGAUAAGGCGAGAAAGAGGCUAUGAAUGAAAGAAUGACAAACAUUAAAGCAAUGCUAAAAGCUAGGUUUCAAAACGUAUAAUCAUCGACUUAGGUUUCAAAACAUAUAAACACUUUGUUUUGAGUAUGUAUU